RNAcentral lists this long non-coding RNA (270 nucleotides) under Phaseolus vulgaris (common bean). Its description in RNAcentral is "long non-coding RNA (PVUL_LNC005085)". Lineage: Eukaryota; Viridiplantae; Streptophyta; Magnoliopsida; Fabales; Fabaceae. The record is from RNAcentral.
UAUAAAACAGUUUUAAAACCUUCUUUGCCAGCUAAGUUACAAACAACUGAUUAUCUCGACACUUUAAUCGGUUGUUUUUCCCUUUGCAUGGAAAAACACUUUAAUCUCUUAAAAAAGUUUAAAAUGAGCUUUGUCUAAGAUUCAAAACUGAUCUUACAAAGAUUCUAAACCCCAAACCAAAACCUAAACCUAAAACAUCGCACAGCUUUAAGCUUCAUGAGGAUUUGGCACAUCAAAGCUUCCCAUCUUCAACAAUAACAACCUCUGUUU